UCUGGGCGUAAAGCGCGCGUAGGCGGUUUGUUAAGUCAGAUGUGAAAUCCCCGGGCUCAACCUGGGAAUGGCAUUUGAGACUGGCAGGCUAGAGUAUGGUAGAGGUGAGUGGAAUUUCAGGUGUAGCGGUGAAAUGCGUAGAGAUCUGAAGGAACAUCAGUGGCGAAGGCGACUCACUGGGCCAUUACUGACGCUGAGGUGCGAAAGCGUGGGUAGCAAACAGGAUUAGAUACCCUGGUAGUCCACGCCCUAAACGAUGUCAACUAGGUGUAUGGAGAAAAUAUUCUUUGUGUAUCGAAGCUAACGCGAUAAGUUGACCGCCUGGGGAGUACGGUCGCAAGACUAAAACUCAAAUGAAUUGACGGGGGCCCGCACAAGCGGUGGAGCAUGUGGUUUAAUUCGAUGCAACGCGAAGAACCUUACCUGGCCUUGA
Molecule: ribosomal RNA, 433 nt
Filed under: uncultured bacterium
Lineage: Bacteria
Description: bacterial SSU rRNA
Rfam family: Bacterial small subunit ribosomal RNA
Source: RNAcentral